This 2534-nucleotide long non-coding RNA is filed under the name Homo sapiens (human). Its description in RNAcentral is "non-protein coding lnc-GADD45G-3:7". The record is from RNAcentral. Lineage: Eukaryota; Metazoa; Chordata; Mammalia; Primates; Hominidae.
GGAGCCAGCUCUGCCCUGAAGGGGCUGAAGCCCACCCGGCCUGCAGCUGCUUCCUGCUGCAGGACAGCCCUGGAAGGUCUGCAGCUCCCGUCAAAGGUGCAGAGGGUGCAGGCCCAUUUCACAAUGGGGAAGACUGAUGCUCAGAGAAUAGCCAGUAUGCUUGAUCAUACCGGUGGCAUGUGGCAGAGAAGGCUGAAGUCCAGGUUCUACUGUUGGCAAAGCUUGGGCCCUUUCCACUCUGCUGUGCCUUCCUCACCUCCACAGUGACCUGGACAUGAAAGGCCCUCUUGGAUGAACUGGUAGUGUCACUGGCAGCAGCUGCUAGGCUACCAGGCUGGGCUGGCUUGCCAUCCUGGCUUCCCCACUGGCCGGCACAGAUCUUCACGGAUUGCAGCAUUCAGGACCUGAGUCCAUGCCCAUGCAGAGGCCCAUUGCAGUGUUUGCUUAGCAUAGCUGCAUUUCCAGAAUGUAGGCAGGAGAAGCUGUAAAAGAUUCUCACCCUGCCAUGCACACUGAUGGCUCACAUUCUAAAGAGUCAGGAGUCAUUUUGGAUUUGGGCUGACCUGGUAGACUUCUGAAAGACAGUGCUCUGGGUUCAAGUUGUCCUCAGAGUCAAACUUCAGACUCACCUGAGACUCACCCUCUGUCGCCAGGCUGGACUGCAGUGGCGCGAUCUCGGCUCACUGCAACCUCUGCAUCCCGGGUCCGGGUUCAAGCAAUUCUCUCAUCUCAGCCUCCCAAAUAGCUGGGAUUACAGACUCGCGCCACCAUAUCCAGCUAAUUUUUGUAUUUUUAGUAGAGACGGAGUUUCACCAUGUUGGCCAGGCUGGUCUUGAACUCCUGACCUCGUGAUCUGCCCGCCUCGGCCUCCCGAAGUAAGAUGCAAUUCUUUAUGGGGCCAGAGAGAAGUUCAAAAGCCACUGUUCUAGAAAGAGUUCUCUCUGGCAUUUUAUUGAAGCAAUUGCAAGUUUGAAGUCAGUGCUAGCAGUGUUUGGUAGUCAGGCCACCAGUGAGAACUCAGCUUCAUCAUUCCGGAAACCUCUGUGCUUUGCUCCCCUCCAUGGAAGAGCCUCACCAGUGAGCCAUUUGGGUUCUCUUAAAAUGAGACAGAACAUCAUUGCUUGGUGCUGAUCAAGGAACACAACUCUGUCCUUCCUCCCAGGGAAGCAGUCGCCAUAGGCUGGCACAGACUGGUGGGGUCAGCCCUGCAUGGUGAACAGUAUGGGUACCCACCCAGUGCCCCCACCCAGAGGCCUGUCAUCAAGAGAGAUCAGCCUCUGAGCAGCCAGUUCAGGGGACAUUGGUCAUUGAGGAGAUGAGGUGCCACUGCCACUUCCCCACUCCUCACCUGGGUGGCCUCCCAGCUCCCACCUCCUUCUUUACCCUCCAGACCUAAUCCAUUCCCCACUGGGUGUGUCAGACCACAAAGCCUCCUGCUUAAAGCCAUUCGCAGGCUCGCCACUGCUCCUAAUGCCUCCCGGUGAACUCCUUGCUGCUGUCCACAUGGCCAGCUCCCCUGGCCCCUUCUGACCUGCUCACUGUCUCCCCAGCUGCCCACCCGACCCCAGGCCAGCUCAUGCCGCCUGAGCAUCUCUGCCACACUGCUUCUGCAUGCUUCUCCUCACCUUUGCAUGCCCGGCUCCUGGUCACCUGCAUUUCAGCUACACAGUGCCUCUUUAGAGAGCUUCCCUCCUCCCAUCACUCCUGAAGUCCUGUCCUCUCAUUGACUUGUUGUCCUGUUGAUGCCCUCUUCACUGUUCUGGCUGACUAUGGCUGCAUUUAAAAGCACCUCAAAGCUCAGUGGCUUAGAACAACAAUUUGUUAUUCUCUCCCAUGGUGCUGUGGGUAGAUUGGGCUUGGCCACACCAUCCUCACAAUGGUGAGGCUUCAGAUCCAAUCAGACAGUGCCCAGACCUGGAGUCUCUGAAACCUCUGCUGAGCGGAUGUCCAAGAUGGUGCCUUCAUCUAUGUGCCUGGCCAAAGAUGUUGGCUUUCAGCUGUCCUCUCGGCCUGGGAUCUCAGGAGUGCCCGUAUGAGCCCUCUCCACUCAGCCUCUCCUAGCAUGGUGGCCAGGUCCCAAGAGGGAGCAUCCCAAGGGCCAGGUCCCAAGAGUUGACAAGGAGCUGCAAGGCCUCUGGAUAGCCUGGGCUUGGAAGAAUCAGAACUUGUAUUGGUUGACAAAGUCACAGAGGUUGGCCCAGAGUCAAGUGGGAGAGAUGAGGCCCUUGAAAGGGACUGGCAAGGCCACACCGCGGAAGAGACAGUGGGAUGCUAGAUGUUAUUCAGCCAUCUUUGGAAAAUGCAACCUGCCGCUUCAGACUCACCUGAGGUCAUUGCUUCCACUUCUUCCACUUCUUUUUCUUUUUUUCCUUCUUUCUCUUUCUUUCUUUCUUUCUUUUCUUUCUUUCUUUCUUUCUUUCUUCUUUCUUUCUUUCUUUCUUUCUUUCUUUCCUUCUUUCUUGUCUUUUCUUUCUCUCUUUCUCUCUUUCUUUCUUUCUUUCGCCCACUCCAGUGGAUUGGAAGCAAGAGCCUUG